UAAUACGUAGGGUGCAAGCGUUAAUCGGAAUUACUGGGCGUAAAGCGUGCGCAGGCGGUUCGGAAAGAAAGAUGUGAAAUCCCAGAGCUUAACUUUGGAACUGCAUUUUUAACUACCGAGCUAGAGUGUGUCAGAGGGAGGUGGAAUUCCGCGUGUAGCAGUGAAAUGCGUAGAUAUGCGGAGGAACACCGAUGGCGAAGGCAGCCUCCUGGGAUAACACUGACGCUCAUGCACGAAAGCGUGGGGAGCAAACAGG
Molecule: ribosomal RNA, 256 nt
Filed under: uncultured bacterium
Lineage: Bacteria
Description: partial 16S ribosomal RNA
Rfam family: Bacterial small subunit ribosomal RNA
Source: RNAcentral